Molecule: ribosomal RNA, 694 nt
Filed under: Stephanitis sp. YT-2007
Lineage: Eukaryota; Metazoa; Arthropoda; Insecta; Hemiptera; Tingidae
Description: eukaryotic LSU rRNA
Rfam family: Eukaryotic large subunit ribosomal RNA
Source: RNAcentral
UUAGCAUAGCGUGCUCGCGAGUCAUUGGGUGUUACAAAACCUAAAGGCGAAAUGAAAGUGAAGAGAGUCCUCGUGACCCUCAAGGGAGGAUGAGCUACUGCUCUGGUCGUUCUAACAGGCGGCUGAGCGUGUCUCCGCACUCCCGGGGCGAUUCUUUCUCAUUGCGAGUGGAAGCGCACCAAGAGCGAGCACGCUGAAACCCGAAAGAUGGUGAACUAUGCCUGGCCAGGACGAAGCCAGGGGAAACCCUGGUGGAGGUCCGCAGCGAUUCUGACGUGCAAAUCGAUCGUCGGAGCUGGGUAUAGGGGCGAAAGACCAAUCGAACCAUCUAGUAGCUGGUUCCCUCUGAAGUUUCCCUCAGGAUAGCUUGCGCUCGGGUGUGAAGAGUCUCAUCCGGUAGAGCGAAUGAUUAGAGGCCUUGGGGUCGAAACGACCUCAACCUAUUCUCAAACUCCAAAUAGAUGAGAACCCCGGCUUGCUUGAAUAUUUUUUUUGAAGCCGCGGGACUCGGAUCAGAGUGCCAAGUGGGCCAAUUUUGGUAAGCAGAACUGGCGCUGUGGGAUGAACCAAACGCAGAGUUAAGGCGCCCGAAUCGACGCUCAUGCGAAACCAUGAAAGGCGUUGGUUGCUUAAGACAGUAGGUCGGUGGCCCUGGAAAAUUAGAAACCGGCUAAAGAAGGGGGGUAAACAACUU